GACGAACGCUGGCGGCGUGCCUAAUACAUGCAAGUAGAACGCACAGUUUAUACCGUAGCUUGCUACACCAUAGACUGUGAGUUGCGAACGGGUGAGUAACGCGUAGGUAACCUGCCUGGUAGCGGGGGAUAACUAUUGGAAACGAUAGCUAAUACCGCAUAAUAUUAAUUAUUGCAUGAUAAUUGAUUGACAGAUGCAACUGCAUCACUACCAGAUGGACCUGCGUUGUAUUAGCUAGUAGGUGAGGUAACGGCUCACCUAGGCGACGAUACAUAGCCGACCUGAGAGGGUGAUCGGCCACACUGGGACUGAGACACGGCCCAGACUCCUACGGGAGGCAGCAGUAGGGAAUCUUCGGCAAUGGACGAAAGUCUGACCGAGCAACGCCGCGUGAGUGAAGAAGGUUUUCGGAUCGUAAAGAUCUGUUGUAAGAGAAGAACGGGUGUGAGAGUGGAAAGUUCACACUGUGACGGUAUCUUACCAGAAAGGGACGGCUAACUACGUG
RNAcentral lists this ribosomal RNA (505 nucleotides) under uncultured bacterium. RNAcentral's name for it is "partial 16S ribosomal RNA". It matches the Rfam family "Bacterial small subunit ribosomal RNA", at positions 28 to 507 of the family's 1533-position model. The record is from RNAcentral.